RNAcentral lists this ribosomal RNA (468 nucleotides) under uncultured bacterium. RNAcentral describes it as "partial 16S ribosomal RNA". It matches the Rfam family "Bacterial small subunit ribosomal RNA", at positions 28 to 507 of the family's 1533-position model. The record is from RNAcentral.
GACGAACGCUGGCGGCGUGCUUAACACAUGCAAGUCGAACGGAAAGGCCCUGCUUUUGUGGGGUGCUCGAGUGGCGAACGGGUGAGUAACACGUGAGUAACCUGCCCUUGACUUUGUGAUAACUUCAGGAAACUGGGGCUAAUACCGGAUAGGAGCUCCUGCUGCAUGGGGGGGGUUGGAAAGUUUCGGCGGUUGGGGAUGGACUCGCGGCUUAUCAGCUUGUUGGUGGGGUAGUGGCUUACCAAGGCUUUGACGGGUAGCCGGCCUGAGAGGGUGACCGGCCACAUUGGGCCUGCGAGACGGACCAGACUCCUACGGGAGGCAGCAGUGGGGAAUAUUGCACAAUGGGCGGAAGCCUGAUGCAGCAACGCCGCGUGCGGGAUGACGGCCUUCGGGUUGUAAACCGCUUUCGCCUGUGACGAAGCGUGAGUGACGGUAAUGGGUAAAGAAGCACCGGCUAACUACGUG